Molecule: ribosomal RNA, 476 nt
Filed under: uncultured organism
Description: partial 16S ribosomal RNA
Rfam family: Bacterial small subunit ribosomal RNA
Source: RNAcentral
CACUCCUACGGGAGGCAGCAGUGGGGAAUAUUGCACAAUGGGCGCAAGCCUGAUGCAGCCAUGCCGCGUGUAUGAAGAAGGCCUUCGGGUUGUAAAGUACUUUCAGCGGGGAGGAAGGCGAUAAGGUUAAUAACCUUGUUGAUUGACGUUACCCGCAGAAGAAGCACCGGCUAACUCCGUGCCAGCAGCCGCGGUAAUACGGAGGGUGCAAGCGUUAAUCGGAAUUACUGGGCGUAAAGCGCACGCAGGCGGUCUGUCAAGUCGGAUGUGAAAUCCCCGGGCUCAACCUGGGAACUGCAUUCGAAACUGGCAGGCUAGAGUCUUGUAGAGGGGGGUAGAAUUCCAGGUGUAGCGGUGAAAUGCGUAGAGAUCUGGAGGAAUACCGGUGGCGAAGGCGGCCCCCUGGACAAAGACUGACGCUCAGGUGCGAAAGCGUGGGGAGCAAACAGGAUUAGAUACCCGUGUAGUCCCAUGAU